RNAcentral lists this ribosomal RNA (475 nucleotides) under uncultured organism. Its description in RNAcentral is "partial 16S ribosomal RNA". It matches the Rfam family "Bacterial small subunit ribosomal RNA", at positions 332 to 798 of the family's 1533-position model. The record is from RNAcentral.
UACACUCCUACGGGAGGCAGCAGUGGGGAAUUUUGGACAAUGGGCGAAAGCCUGAUCCAGCAAUGCCGCGUGAGUGAAGAAGGCCUUCGGGUUGUAAAGCUCUUUUGUCAGGGAAGAAACGGUGAAAGCUAAUAUCUUUUGCUAAUGACGGUACCUGAAGAAUAAGCACCGGCUAACUACGUGCCAGCAGCCGCGGUAAUACGUAGGGUGCAAGCGUUAAUCGGAAUUACUGGGCGUAAAGCGUGCGCAGGCGGUUUUGUAAGUCUGAUGUGAAAUCCCCGGGCUCAACCUGGGAAUUGCAUUGGAGACUGCAAGGCUAGAAUCUGGCAGAGGGGGGUAGAAUUCCACGUGUAGCAGUGAAAUGCGUAGAUAUGUGGAGGAACACCGAUGGCGAAGGCAGCCCCCUGGGUCAAGAUUGACGCUCAUGCACGAAAGCGUGGGGAGCAAACAGGAUUAGAUACCCUUGUAGUCCCAU